UGCCCCUGACUCUGGAAUAACCGUGGGAAACGACGGCUAAUACCGGAUAUGAGACGUCCACGCAUGUGAGCGUCUGGAAAGAUUUAUCGGUCUGGGAUGGACUCGCGGCCUAUCAGCUUGUUGGUGGGGUAAUGGCCCACCAAGGCGACGACGGGUAGCCGGCCUGAGAGGGCGACCGGCCACACUGGGACUGAGAUACGGCCCAGACUCCUACGGGAGGCAGCAGUGGGGAAUAUUGCACAAUGGGCGCAAGCUGAUGCAGCGACGCCGCGUGGGGGAUGAAGGCCUUCGGGUUGUAAACCCUUUCAGCAGGGAAGAAGCGAAAGUGACGGUACCUGCAGAAGAAGCGCCGGCUAACUACGUGCCAGCAGCCGCGGUAAUACGUAGGGCGCAACGUUGUCCGGAAUUAUUGGGCGUAAAGAGCUCGUAGGCGGUUUGUCGCGUCUGCUGUGAAAACCCGAGGCUCAACCUCGGGCUUGCAGUGGGUACGGGCAGACUAGAGUGCGGUAGGGGUGACUGGAAUUCCUGGUGUAGCGGUGGAAUGCGCAGAUAUCAGGAGGAACACCGAUGGCGAAGGCAGGUCACUGGGCCGCAACUGACGCUGAGGAGCGAAAGCAUGGGGAGCGAACAGGAUUAGAUACCCUGGUAGUCCAUGCCGUAAACGUUGGGCACUAGGUGUGGGGCUCAUUCCACGAGUUCCGUGCCGCAGCAAACGCAUUAAGUGCCCCGCCUGGGGAGUACGGCCGCAAGGCUAAAACUCAAAGGAAUUGACGGGGGCCGCACAAGCGGCGGAGCAUGCGGAUUAAUUCGAUGCAACGCGAAGAACCUUACCAAGGCUUGACAUACACCGGAAAAGUGCAGAGAUGUGCUCCCCGCAAGGUCGGUGUACAGGUGGUGCAUGGUUGUCGUCAGCUCGUGUCGUGAGAUGUUGGGUUAAGUCCCGCAACGAGCGCAACCCUCGUCCUAUGUUGCCAGCACGUUAUGGUGGGGACUCAUAGGAGACUGCCGGGGUCAACUCGGAGGAAGGUGGGGAUGACGUCAAAUCAUCAUGCCCCUUAUGUCUUGGGCUUCACGCAUGCUACAAUGGCCGGUACAAAGGGCUGCGAUACCGCAAGGUGGAGCGAAUCCCAAAAAGCCGGUCUCAGUUCGGAUUGGGGUCUGCAACUCGACCCCAUGAAGUCGGAGUCGCUAGUAAUCGCAGAUCAGCAACGCUGCGGUGAAUACGUUCCCGGGCCU
RNAcentral lists this ribosomal RNA (1236 nucleotides) under Cellulomonadaceae str. WB15. RNAcentral's name for it is "bacterial SSU rRNA". It matches the Rfam family "Bacterial small subunit ribosomal RNA", at positions 127 to 1381 of the family's 1533-position model. Lineage: Bacteria; Bacillati; Actinomycetota; Actinomycetes; Micrococcales; Cellulomonadaceae. The record is from RNAcentral.